UUUCGGCCGCCACUGUUUGAAUCGGUGGGAGAGAAGCUGGGCAGAGUCGGGGGUGUGUACAUCAAAGACGAUGGCCUGUGAUGUCGCCGCCGACGAGCCACCCGCCAUCCACACCGUAUUGGAGCUUCGCGCGCUCGACAAGGCCCCGCCGUCUGCCACGUCCAGGAGCCCCGCGUGCCCGACAAGUCCCCCACCGUCUGCACCGUCCGGGAGCUCCGCGCGGGCGACGCGCCGUCCGCCAUGGGCAGGGCCCCCGAUCUCUGCGCCGGUGACACAGAGCACGCGACACACGAUCGAGUCACGUUGGAGUAGGGGGUUGGGCAGCAGGGGGAUGAGGAUUUUGAUUCAUUGAGCCAGGAUUUUCUAUUUGAUUGAAGUCUGUAUCUGCUAGAGAAAUUGUACAGCAAGUCUGAAUUUGUUAGAUUCAGAGUACCAUAGCAUUUCUGAACUUUUUUAUAGUGUGCUUAUGUGGCAAGGGGGGUGAUUUUAGGUGUUUAUCCCUAGGAGGGGCUUUUUAUGGUGAUCAAUGUGUUUGAACAGACUAGCCGUUCAGCCAUCUCAAUGCCAUUGCAGCACAAACACCAGCACCUAAGCUACUUGUAUGUGCAGAUGUCCCAGUUGUCCUUGU
Triticum aestivum (bread wheat) is the source of this 628-nucleotide long non-coding RNA. RefSeq lists it as uncharacterized. The transcript is spliced from 2 exons. Lineage: Eukaryota; Viridiplantae; Streptophyta; Magnoliopsida; Poales; Poaceae. The record is from RefSeq and is a predicted model, not a curated record.